AGAGAGAGACAUGCGCGCAUAUCAAUAAGCGGAGGAAAAGAAACUAACAAGGAUUCCCUUAGUAACGGCGAGUGAAGCGGGAAGAGCUCAAAUUUGAAAUCUUCAAGGUUUUACCUUGACGAAUUGUAGUUUAAAGAAGUGUUUUCUGCUGAAGUUUUGGUAAAAGUUCUUUGGAAUAGGACAUCAUAGAGGGUGAGAAUCCCGUAUUUGACCAUUAUUUCAGCUUUGUGAUACACUUUCAAAGAGUCGGAUUGUUUGGGAAUGCAGUCCAAAAUGGGUGGUAAAUUUCAUCUAAAGCUAAAUAUUGGCGAGAGACCGAUAGCGAACAAGUACCGUGAGGGAAAGAUGAAAAGAACUUUGAAAAGAGAGUUAAACAGUACGUGAAAUUGUCAAAAGGGAAGCGUUUGACACCAGUGUUGUUUUCUCGAAAAUCAAUUAAAAAUGGCUCGAUUUUGUAUUGCUGAGACCUUAAAAGCUCACUGUACAUCUUUCGUGUCUUUUUUAAUGCACUCUUCGUUUAACAAGUCAACAUCAGUUUCUUUUGUUGUAAAAGGGUCAUUGGAAGGUGGCUUUCUUUUCGGAGAAAGUGUUUAUAGCCUUUGGCCUCUGCAAUCGAAGAGACUGAGGUCUAGCAGCGUAGACUCUUCGGGGUUAGAUACAUUUGUGCUAAGUUAUAGCUUUUUAUAGACAACUUGUUGACUAUAAUUAGUCUUGUAGCUUACUCGCUUAUGCUAUUUUACCUACGCUUAGGAUGUUGAAGAUGUAGCACAUCAU
RNAcentral lists this ribosomal RNA (774 nucleotides) under uncultured Neocallimastigales. Its description in RNAcentral is "partial large subunit ribosomal RNA". It matches the Rfam family "Eukaryotic large subunit ribosomal RNA", at positions 23 to 634 of the family's 3401-position model. Lineage: Eukaryota; Fungi; Neocallimastigomycota; Neocallimastigomycetes; Neocallimastigales. The record is from RNAcentral.